UAGGGUGUAGCUCAGUGGUGGGGCACUUGCCUGCCAUGCAUAAGGACCUGGGUUCAAUCCCAGCAACUUCC
RNAcentral lists this transfer RNA (71 nucleotides) under Fukomys damarensis (Damara mole-rat). It matches the Rfam family "tRNA". Rfam says of the family: Transfer RNA (tRNA) molecules are approximately 80 nucleotides in length. Their secondary structure includes four short double-helical elements and three loops (D, anti-codon, and T loops). Further hydrogen bonds mediate the characteristic L-shaped molecular structure. tRNAs have two regions of fundamental functional importance: the anti-codon, which is responsible for specific mRNA codon recognition, and the 3' end, to which the tRNAs corresponding amino acid is attached (by aminoacyl-tRNA synthetases). tRNAs cope with the degeneracy of the genetic code in two manners: having more than one tRNA (with a specific anti-codon) for a particular amino acid; and 'wobble' base-pairing, i.e. permitting non-standard base-pairing at the 3rd anti-codon position. Lineage: Eukaryota; Metazoa; Chordata; Mammalia; Rodentia; Bathyergidae. The record is from Rfam by way of RNAcentral.